AGUGAACGCUGGCGGCAGGCCUAAUACAUGCAAGUCGAACGGCAGCACAGCAGAGCUUGCUCUGUGGGUGGCGAGUGGCGGACGGGUGAGGAAUACAUGGGAAUCUGCCCAGUCGUGGGGGAUAACGUAUGGAAACGUACGCUAAUACCGCAUGCGCCCUAAGGGGGAAAGCCGGGGACCGCAAGGCCUGGCGCGAUUGGAUGAGCCCAUGUUCGAUUAGCUAGUUGGCGGGGUAAAGGCCCACCAAGGCGACGAUCGAUAGCUGGUCUGAGAGGAUGAUCAGCCACACUGGAACUGAGACACGGUCCAGACUCCUACGGGAGGCAGCAGUAGGGAAUAUUGGACAAUGGGGGCGAACCCUGAUCCAGCCAUGCCGCGUGAGUGAAGAAGGCCCUCGGGUUGUAAAGCUCUUUUGUCCGGAAAGAAAGCAUCGGUUAAUACCCGGUUGUUCUGACGGUACCGGAAGAAUAAGCACCGGCUAACUUCGUGCCAGC
RNAcentral lists this ribosomal RNA (494 nucleotides) under uncultured bacterium. Its description in RNAcentral is "bacterial SSU rRNA". It matches the Rfam family "Bacterial small subunit ribosomal RNA", at positions 29 to 512 of the family's 1533-position model. The record is from RNAcentral.